CCUACGGGAGGCAGCAGUGAGGAAUAUUGGUCAAUGGACGCAAGUCUGAACCAGCCAUGCCGCGUGCAGGAUGACGGCUCUAUGAGUUGUAAACUGCUUUUGUACGAGGGUAAACCCCGAUACGUGUAUCGGGUUGAAAGUAUCGUACGAAUAAGGAUCGGCUAACUCCGUGCCAGCAGCCGCGGUAAUACGGAGGAUCCGAGCGUUAUCCGGAUUUAUUGGGUUUAAAGGGUGCGUAGGCGGUUUGAUAAGUUAGAGGUGAAAUGUCGGGGCUCAACCCCGAAACUGCCUCUAAUACUGUUGGACUAGAGAAUAGUUGCGGUAGGCGGAAUGUAUGGUGUAGCGGUGAAAGGCGUAGAGAUCAUACAGAACACCGAUUGCGAAGGCAGCUUACCAAACUAUAUCUGACGUUGAGGCACGAAAGCGUGGGUAGCAAACAGGAUUAGAUACCCCUGUAGUC
Molecule: ribosomal RNA, 460 nt
Filed under: uncultured bacterium
Lineage: Bacteria
Description: partial 16S ribosomal RNA
Rfam family: Bacterial small subunit ribosomal RNA
Source: RNAcentral